Molecule: ribosomal RNA, 539 nt
Filed under: Vibrio harveyi
Lineage: Bacteria; Pseudomonadati; Pseudomonadota; Gammaproteobacteria; Vibrionales; Vibrionaceae
Description: bacterial SSU rRNA
Rfam family: Bacterial small subunit ribosomal RNA
Source: RNAcentral
AGAGUUUGAUCCUGGCUCAGAUUGAACGCUGGCGGCAGGCCUAACACAUGCAAGUCGAGCGGAAACGAGUUAUCUGAACCUUCGGGGGACGAUAACGGCGUCGAGCGGCGGACGGGUGAGUAAUGCCUAGGAAAUUGCCCUGGUGUGGGGGAUAACCAUUGGAAACGAUGGCUAAUACCGCAUAAUACCUUCGGGUCAAAGAGGGGGACCUUCGGGCCUCUCGCGUCAGGAUAUGCCUAGGUGGGAUUAGCUAGUUGGUGAGGUAAUGGCUCACCAAGGCGACGAUCCCUAGCUGGUCUGAGAGGAUGAUCAGCCACACUGGAACUGAGACACGGUCCAGACUCCUACGGGAGGCAGCAGUGGGGAAUAUUGCACAAUGGGCGCAAGCCUGAUGCAGCCAUGCCGCGUGUGUGAAGAAGGCCUUCGGGUUGUAAAGCACUUUCAGUCGUGAGGAAGGUAGUGUAGUUAAUAGCUGCAUUAUUUGACGUUAGCGACAGAAGAAGCACCGGCUAACUCCGUGCCAGCAGCCGCGGUAAUAC